This is a non-coding RNA of Oryctolagus cuniculus (rabbit), 678 nucleotides long. Lineage: Eukaryota; Metazoa; Chordata; Mammalia; Lagomorpha; Leporidae. The record is from RefSeq and is a predicted model, not a curated record.
ACACUGCGUGAACAGACAGCGGAUUGGAGUGUUCCGUGCAUGGACUUGAGCCCGCUUGCAAUUGGCCAGAUUUUGUAUAUAAGCUGUGUGCUGAGAAAGGAUGGGGCUUUCCUGUCCACUCUCCUCCUUUCAUUCUUUCUCUGUCCCUGUUAUUUUCCCAUUAAAAGUCUGCUGAAGACCAAUAAGCUGCGAACAGUGUCGUUCCUUUGCGGGCAAGGGAGUGGCAAGUGGUGCCGUGACUCGGAUCCGGACCACUUUCUACACGCAGGAAUAGCAGCAAGCUGGCCCACAAAUUGGAAAAAAAGAAAAUUACCAUAACUCAAUUGCAAGGUAUUGGUUGGAGUCAAAGAUUAACACAAAGUUCCAAAUUGCUGCAAUGGGAGGAUGAAUCAGGUAAUGCUGGAGCCUGUCGCCCCUAUAUUUUGGCUGCAUUACUUGUUAAUCUAUGGAGACGUGAUAUUCUAACUCAAAUGGGGGCUUUCAUACAUAGUCCAAGUAAGAUUGUUACCAUUAACAUACUUCAACAAGGUCAUUUGCCAGGUAAGGGUUUAGAGAAACAACAACAAAGCAUCACAUCUCCAGUUACUGUAACUGUCAAUCAUGACCAGAGAGGCUUGGGUUUCCCUUGAUGGCUACUGGUCAGCCUGUGCCUCAUGCAAAAAAUUAAAUAAAAUAAAA